AUACACAUCUAUUUUUAGCUCAUGCCCACUGCAUUCAUGGCAUGGUCCCUGCUUGGAUUCACUCAAUGGCAAGCAGAUUGUUCGGUAACUAUUGCCAUCGCCAUUGCCAUGCGAGAUGAAGAUUGUGGAAUUUUGGCAACCAUGGAAUCAUGUGAAAGAAACCUUCACUUCUCUACAGUGGGUUAGCAGAUAAAGGACAUGCGAGCUUAUCAUCCCAGGAUCUUCUCGAGGUAGGUUAGAUUGAUCAAACAUGGGUGCUACAUGCAAACAAGAAAGAGAGUCAUCAAUCUUGGACAGAUUAAAACAUUUGGUAUGUGCUGCUCUAACCAGAAAUAGAACUAUUGAUGCAUCAGCUACAGCCUACAAGAGAAUGUGGUGUUGGAGACAGUUGACCAAAAAGAGUCUCCUUGGUUUCAUCACUGACCAGAGAUGUCACUAAAUCAAUGUCCAUCAUCGAGGAGAAACUCCAUUACUAUGCUUUCACUCUGCUGCCAGGAGACAAGUUGGUAUUUCUGACUUCCUUCAUUCAUGACUGACUCCGUUUAGAAUUCAGGGACCAAACUCCAUUAAGCUACUGUGAUGCUUAUGUCAUCUUUGAUCAAAGGUUUGUCCUCGACCAGCCUUUCUGACUCAUUUAUAGCUUUUCUGGCGAAAUCAGAUCACUGUCAAAACAGCUCUUUACAGUUCUUGUGAUCUCUGUUUCAGCAAGGCAACCAGAUUCUCUUGAUUUAGGAGACUGGCAUUAAGGGAUGGUUAUUUUGGAUGUUUCAAAAGGACUAUACUAGUGAAACCAAGUAGAGGUCUGAAUCGAUUGAUGUAGAAAAUUAUGGAAUGAGUUAUGAUUAGAGAUGAAAUAUCACUGGAUUAUAAAGCUAACUAAGUUUUUUUCUUGAAUCGAUAUCUGAUCUAGAGAAACUCUGAAUGGUAGAUAUGGCCAUCACUGAAUCCUUAAAAAUGUGUUCAAGUGCAUGCUCUUUGAUGGAUGUCAUGAACAAGACUGCAACAAUCCCUAAACUAUCUUUUUUUGUUUCAGAUGAAUGUUGAGUGGGGAGGGCUGAGAAAGUUCCCAGCCCUCCUCUCUGCUUACUGAAACCUAUUAAUUUUCCAACUCAGUUAUGUUUGUGUCAUUAAAUGGGUGAGCAUUAGGUCCCACCAACCCACUUGGUAUGAUAUCAACCAACCAUUUACUCCUGAAUCAAAUUAUUGCCCAUUUAUUUGUGGCAGGUUGCUCAACUGUCUUUUCCUCAUGGAGGUUGAGUGCUUCAAGUUGCCACAAAUUUCUGUGUAGAUUUGCUACUGUACAUGCAGAUAUUAUCAUAUCAGAAUCGGACUCCUUUUAGUCCCAAGAAAGAUAAAGAGGAUGUCUGAAAAUAUAGCUAAAACCCAUGUGAUAUGGGCUGGCAUUCAUCAUUUGCAAUCUAAAUUUAAUAUUUGGAAUCGAACUCUUCUGUCACUCCAGCUUUUGUCCUGUUGAUUCUGUCAACAAUGCUUUGUCAGUAGUGAUAUGAAUGAUACAAAAUCCCUACAUGUGUCCAUUCCUUAGCAAACACCAUAAAAAAGAAAAGAUGUAGGUUGGAAGUUGGAAAUGAGUCAUGAGAGAGAGAGAGAGAGAGAGAGAGAGAGAGAGAGAGAGAGGUGCUUAACCCUAGCAUAAAGCAAGUCUGCUACUAUACUGUUUCACUUUGCCUUCUAUCAGCAGGAAGAAAGAGCAUAUCAAAUGAGUAUAAU
Molecule: long non-coding RNA, 1728 nt
Filed under: Musa acuminata (dwarf banana)
Lineage: Eukaryota; Viridiplantae; Streptophyta; Magnoliopsida; Zingiberales; Musaceae
Description: long non-coding RNA (MACU_LNC002248)
Source: RNAcentral